UACAGAGGUCUCAAGCGUUGUUCGGAAUCACUGGGCGUAAAGCGUGCGCAGGCGGUUUUGUAAGACAGACGUGAAAUCCCCGGGCUUAACCUGGGAACUGCGUUUGUGACUGCAAGGCUAGAGUACGGCAGAGGGGGGUAGAAUUCCACGUGUAGCAGUGAAAUGCGUAGAUAUGUGGAGGAAUACCGAUGGCGAAGGCAGCCCCUGGGUCGAUACUGACGCUCAUGCACGAAAGCGUGGGGAGCAAACAGGAUUAGAAACCCCAGUAGU
RNAcentral lists this ribosomal RNA (270 nucleotides) under uncultured bacterium. RNAcentral's name for it is "partial 16S ribosomal RNA". It matches the Rfam family "Bacterial small subunit ribosomal RNA", at positions 524 to 794 of the family's 1533-position model. The record is from RNAcentral.